Molecule: unclassified non-coding RNA, 334 nt
Filed under: soil metagenome
Description: partial contains 5.8S ribosomal RNA, internal transcribed spacer 2, and large subunit ribosomal RNA
Rfam family: 5.8S ribosomal RNA (bases 1-120)
Source: RNAcentral
GAUGAAGAACGUAGCGAAAUGCGAUAAGUAGUGUGAAUUGCAGAAUUUAGUGAAUCAUCGAAUCUUUGAACGCACAUUGCGCCCGCCAGUAUUCUGGCGAGCAUGCCUGUUCGAGCGUCAUUUCAACCAUCAAGCCCCAGGCUUGUGUUGGAGCCCUGCGGCUGCCGCAGCCUCCCAAAACCAGUGGCGGGCUCGCUAUCACACCGAGUGCAGUAGUUUACUCUUCGCUCAGGGCGUGUGGCGGGUGCUAGCCGUGAAACCCCCAACUUCUCAAGGUUGACCUCGGAUCAGGUAGGAAUACCCGCUGAACUUAAGCAUAUCAAUAAGCGGAGGA